CCUACGGGAGGCAGCAGUGGGGAAUAUUGCACAAUGGGGGAAACCCUGAUGCAGCGACGCCGCGUGAGCGAUGAAGUAUUUCGGUAUGUAAAGCUCUAUCAGCAGGGAAGAAAAUGACGGUACCUGACUAAGAAGCCCGGCUAACUACGUGCCAGCAGCCGCGGUAAUACGUAGGGGGCAAGCGUUAUCCGGAUGUACUGGGUGUAAAGGGAGCGUAGACGGCAGCGCAAGUCUGAAGUGAAAUGCCGGGGCUUAACCCCGGAACUGCUUUGGAAACUGUGCAGCUAGUGUGCAGGAGAGGUAAGUGGAAUUCCUAGUGUAGCGGUGAAAUGCGUAGAUAUUAGGAGGAACACCAGUGGCGAAGGCGGCUUACUGGACUGUAACUGACGUUGAGGCUCGAAAGCGUGGGGAGCAAACAGGAUUAGAUACCCGGGUAGUC
Molecule: ribosomal RNA, 439 nt
Filed under: uncultured bacterium
Lineage: Bacteria
Description: partial 16S ribosomal RNA
Rfam family: Bacterial small subunit ribosomal RNA
Source: RNAcentral